UCAGUGUAUAGAAUGAAACAAAAACGUCCUGCAAGGUCGUUAUAGAGUUGCGUUUAGUCGUUUAUCGUUGUAUUCGUUCAUUUCGAAAUCGUUACUGACAAAAGUAUUAAA
This is a non-coding RNA of Hydra vulgaris (swiftwater hydra), 111 nucleotides long. The record is from RefSeq and is a predicted model, not a curated record. NCBI's taxonomy places the organism in Eukaryota, Metazoa, Cnidaria, Hydrozoa, Anthoathecata, Hydridae.